RNAcentral lists this unclassified non-coding RNA (528 nucleotides) under Hevea brasiliensis (rubber tree). Lineage: Eukaryota; Viridiplantae; Streptophyta; Magnoliopsida; Malpighiales; Euphorbiaceae. The record is from RNAcentral.
CUUCAUUGAGGAAUUUACAAAAAGUUCAACAGCCAUUCAAUUCUCGAUCGGUGGACGAUCUUCUUGCAUUUUUGGAUAAAUCAGAGGCAGAGGAAAAUGAUUCUUUUAUAUGUGUUGUCAUUCAUAACAUUGAUGGGCCUGGGUUAAGAGAUUCUGAAAGCCAACAGUAUCUUGCUCGAAUUGCUUCUUGUUCGAAUAUCCGUACCAUUGCCACUGUUGACCAUGUCAAUGCACCUCUCUUGUGGGACAAGAAGAUGGUUCACACACAAUUUAACUGGUAUUGGUACCAUGUUCCCACCUAUGCACCAUAUAAGGUUGAAGGAAUCUUCUUUCCUUUGAUUCUUGCACACAGCAAUACAUCCCAGAGUGCCAAAACAGCUGCAAUAGUUUUACAGAGUUUGACACCCAAUGCUCAGAGUGUGUUCAAAAUUCUUGCAGAAUAUCAACGGUCGCACCCUGAAGAAGAAGGCAUGCCUUUUGAUAAUCUAUAUACAAUCUCCAGAGAGCGCUUCCUUGUGAGUAGCCAGG